Molecule: ribosomal RNA, 120 nt
Filed under: Takifugu rubripes (torafugu)
Lineage: Eukaryota; Metazoa; Chordata; Actinopteri; Tetraodontiformes; Tetraodontidae
Source: RNAcentral
GCUUACGGCCAUACCACCCCUGAAAACGCCCGAUCUCGUCCGAUCUCGGAAGCUAAGCAGGGUCGGGCCUGGUUAGUACUUGGAUGGGAGACCGCCUGGGAAUACCAGGUGCUGUAAGCU